CCUACGGGCGGCAGCAGUGGGGAAUAUUGGACAAUGGGCGAAACCCUGAUCCAGCGAAGUCGCGUGAGUGAUGAAGUCUUUCCGUAUGUUAAGCUCUAUCAGCCGGGAAGCAAAUGACGGUACCUGACUAAGCAGCCCCGGCUACCUACGUGCAAGCAGCCGGGGGAAUACGUAGGGGGCAAGCGUUAUCCGGAUUUACUGGGUGUAAAGGGAGCGGAGAGGGGACAGCAGAGCUGAUGGUAAAGGUGGGGGCCCAACCCUGGUACUGCAGUGGAAACUGUUGAUCUUGAGUACAGGAGAGGUAAGCGGAAUUCGUAGUGUAGCGGUGAAAUGCAGAGAUAGUAGGAGGAACACCAGUGGCGAAGGCAGCGUACUGGACUGUAACUGACGUUGAGGCACGAAAGCGUGGGGAGCAAACAGGAUUAGAUACCCGAGUAGUC
Molecule: ribosomal RNA, 440 nt
Filed under: uncultured bacterium
Lineage: Bacteria
Description: partial 16S ribosomal RNA
Rfam family: Bacterial small subunit ribosomal RNA
Source: RNAcentral